UACGUAGGACCCAAGCGUUAUCCGGAAUUACUGGGCGUAAAGAGUUGCGUAGGUGGUUUUGUAAGCGAGAAGUGAAAGCGUGCGGCUCAACCGCAUAUCCAUUUUUCGAACUGCAAGACUUGAAUAUAGAAGAGGUACCUGGAAUUCCCAGUGUAGGAGUGAAAUCCGUAGAUAUUGGGAGGAACACCGAUGGCGUAGGCAGGGUACUGGUCUAUUAUUGACACUAAGGCACGAAAGCGUGGGGAGCAAACGGG
This 254-nucleotide ribosomal RNA is filed under the name uncultured bacterium. RNAcentral describes it as "partial 16S ribosomal RNA". It matches the Rfam family "Bacterial small subunit ribosomal RNA", at positions 524 to 776 of the family's 1533-position model. The record is from RNAcentral.